This 775-nucleotide ribosomal RNA is filed under the name uncultured Neocallimastigales. RNAcentral describes it as "partial large subunit ribosomal RNA". It matches the Rfam family "Eukaryotic large subunit ribosomal RNA", at positions 24 to 649 of the family's 3401-position model. Lineage: Eukaryota; Fungi; Neocallimastigomycota; Neocallimastigomycetes; Neocallimastigales. The record is from RNAcentral.
UACGACUACAUAUCAGGCAUAUCAAUAAGCGGAGGAAAAGAAACUAACAAGGAUUCCCUUAGUAACGGCGAGUGAAGCGGGAAGAGCUCAAAUUUGAAAUCUUCAAGGUUCUACCUUGACGAAUUGUAGUUUAAAGAAGUGUUUUCUGUUAGAUGAGUAGCAAAAGUUCCUUGGAAUGGGACAUCAUAGAGGGUGAGAAUCCCGUAUUUGGUUAUUCAUUCUAGCUUUGUGAUACACUUUCAAAGAGUCGGAUUGUUUGGGAAUGCAGUCCAAAAUGGGUGAUAAAUUUCAUCUAAAGCUAAAUAUUGGCGAGAGACCGAUAGCGAACAAGUACCGUGAGGGAAAGAUGAAAAGAACUUUGAAAAGAGAGUUAAACAGUACGUGAAAUUGUCAAAAGGGAAGCGUUUGACACCAGUGUUGUUUUUCCGAAAAUCAAUUACGAAUGGCUUGAUUUUGUGUUGUAUUGACCUUAUCAGCUUUCUUCACUUUUUUCGAGUCUUUCUUAAUGCACUUUUCGGUUAACAAGUCAACAUCAAUUUCUUUUGUUGUAAAAGAGUAUUCGGAAGGUGGCUUUCUUUUCGGAGAAAGUGUUUAUAGCCCUAUACUUCUACAAUCGGAGAGAUUGAGGUCUGCAGCGUAGAUCCUUCGGGGUUAGAUACAUUUGUGCUAAGCUAGUAGCCUUGUAUAGACGACUUGUUGACUAUGCUCAGUCAUGUAGCUUACUCGCUUAUGCUAUUUUACCUACGCUUAGGAUGUUGAGUAGCGACAUACGCAC